GUGCUUGUGAAACAUAUUUUUCUUUUUUCACACUUUCCUUUAAUAAAAUAUUUUAUUGCUGAAAUUACUUCGGUUCGGCUUCUGUGUUCAUGUGACGCCAAAGGAGUGGUUUAUCAGGAGGCAGGAGACAGACUUGGAUCUUUAGCUUACCGAGCCUCAGUGUUGCAGAGUCUAGACAUGACUACAGAGGGAGGGACAUUCAAAAGAGGAAAACUGGCCAUCCGUGGAAGAGUGGUGUAGGGAUUAAAACCAUUGAUCUCAACCGUUUUUGUGGCCUGUUCAAGGAGUUCCAUACGGUCCAUGUCUAACUGGAGCAGUUGGCGUGAUAAGGCUCGGGACCAGCACUCCUGUUGUUGGACAGAAAGACAUCAG
Long non-coding RNA from Oreochromis niloticus (Nile tilapia), 372 nucleotides. RefSeq lists it as uncharacterized. The record is from RefSeq and is a predicted model, not a curated record. Lineage: Eukaryota; Metazoa; Chordata; Actinopteri; Cichliformes; Cichlidae. The transcript has 3 exons.